RNAcentral lists this ribosomal RNA (253 nucleotides) under uncultured bacterium. Its description in RNAcentral is "partial 16S ribosomal RNA". It matches the Rfam family "Bacterial small subunit ribosomal RNA", at positions 524 to 776 of the family's 1533-position model. The record is from RNAcentral.
UACGUAGGGCGCGAGCGUUGUCCGGAAUUAUUGGGCGUAAAGAGCUCGUAGGCGGCCUGUUGCGUCCGCUGUGAAAUCCCAGGGCUCAACCCUGGGCGUGCAGUGGAUACGGGCAGGCUGGAGGCAGGCAGGGGAGAAUGGAAUUCCCGGUGUAGCGGUGAAAUGCGCAGAUAUCGGGAGGAACACCGGUGGCGAAGGCGGUUCUCUGGGCCUGUUCUGACGCUGAGGAGCGAAAGCGUGGGGAGCGAACAGG